AUUGAACGCUGGCGGCAUGCUUUACACAUGCAAGUCGAACGGUAACAGGCCGCAAGGUGCUGACGAGUGGCGAACGGGUGAGUAAUGCAUCGGAACGUGCCCAGUCGUGGGGGAUAACGCAGCGAAAGCUGUGCUAAUACCGCAUACGAUCUGUGGAUGAAAGCGGGGGACCGAAAGGCCUCGCGCGAUUGGAGCGGCCGAUGUCAGAUUAGGUAGUUGGUGGGGUAAAGGCUCACCAAGCCAACGAUCUGUAGCUGGUCUGAGAGGACGACCAGCCACACUGGGACUGAGACACGGCCCAGACUCCUACGGGAGGCAGCAGUGGGGAAUUUUGGACAAUGGGCGCAAGCCUGAUCCAGCAAUGCCGCGUGCAGGAAGAAGGCCUUCGGGUUGUAAACUGCUUUUGUACGGAGCGAAAAGGCUCUCUCUAAUACAGGGGGCUCAUGACGGUACCGUAAGAAUAAGCACCGGCUAACUACGUGCCAGCCGCCGCCGUAA
Molecule: ribosomal RNA, 498 nt
Filed under: uncultured bacterium
Lineage: Bacteria
Description: partial 16S ribosomal RNA
Rfam family: Bacterial small subunit ribosomal RNA
Source: RNAcentral